This is a long non-coding RNA of Dermochelys coriacea (leatherback sea turtle), 449 nucleotides long. RefSeq lists it as uncharacterized. NCBI's taxonomy places the organism in Eukaryota, Metazoa, Chordata, Testudines, Dermochelyidae. The record is from RefSeq and is a predicted model, not a curated record. The transcript has 2 exons.
AUGGUCACCUCUGCUGAUGAGCUCUGCACGGUCACCUGCAGCUUGCCACACUGGCCAAACAGGAACCCAGUGGUGUUCAGUGGAAUUCACCUAAUGGACAAGAAAUCUCCUGAUGUGUUUUAAAGGGCCAGGACUGGACAGGAAGAGCAAUGAUUUGGGAGUGGGUCAUAAACAGGAGUCUAUUAGGUUGAAGAAGAAAAUUAUGUCAAGGGAGCAUUUAAGCACCAAACUUAAUAUGUCACUAAUCUCAGCCCCGGCAAUAUUUGCUCCCUCUCUCAACUAAAUUUAUUAAAGUAAAACAAGUUACCCUUGCCAAUGACCAUGUUAUACACACACUGGUAACAUUUUACACAACAUUAUUCACUUUGGCACAGGCCCCCCAAAAUCAUGAGAUUGGCUUAAAAGCAUGAGAUUUAAAAAAUAAUAAAUUUGGGGUUCUUUUCAUUUGC